Non-coding RNA from Carica papaya (papaya), 433 nucleotides. NCBI's taxonomy places the organism in Eukaryota, Viridiplantae, Streptophyta, Magnoliopsida, Brassicales, Caricaceae. The record is from RefSeq and is a predicted model, not a curated record.
AAAACCUGACAAAACCCAUUUGGUCCUUGGAAGCCCAGAGUAGGGUUUUCGACUACACUCAACAGUUACAGACACAGACCUUCCAUUCCUCGUACGAAAGUCUCGUGCUUCUGAAAAAUCAGGGAGAUAAAUUAUCUUCUAGCUAGAUAAGUCGAUAAACCGGAAAGUACUCAAGCAAGGCAUGUCUACCAACAAUGGCUUCUCAGGUGUUUCAAAUUGCUAUGUAUUCAAGAGUCGAUUACAAGAAUAUGCACAGAAAGUUGGAAUCCCUACCCCAGUUUAUGAGACAACAAAAGAAGGCCCUUCCCACGAGCCUUCUUUUUGGUCUACAGUAAUAGUUAAUGAUGUUAGGUAUGAUUCUUUACCUGGAUUUUUCAAUCGUAAGGCAGCAGAGCAGUCAGCUGCUGAAGUAGCUCUCAUGCAGUUAGCAAAA